Small nuclear RNA from Ictidomys tridecemlineatus (thirteen-lined ground squirrel), 106 nucleotides. Lineage: Eukaryota; Metazoa; Chordata; Mammalia; Rodentia; Sciuridae. The record is from Ensembl.
GUGCUCACUUUAGCAGCACAUACACUAAAAAUAGAACAAUACAGAGAAAAUUACUAGUGCCCCUAUGCAAGAUUACACACAAAUUUGGAGAGCAUUUCAUAUUUAA